UAUUAGGAAUCAAGUGAAUAAUCCUAAUAUUAAUUAAAAGUGAAUAAGAGCCUCCAGGAAAAAUAGAAUGGAUAAAAGGCCCGAUUUAACGGGACUUAAACUAAAACGGGUUUUUGAACAAGAUGAAUAACUAGGAAAAUUAUAACCUAGUUAACUACAAGUCUAAAAAUAACUUAAAUAGGGUUAAAACAACAAAACCUUAUGGUAAACAAAAGUGAGGGACUAAUAUUGUCAAAACUUAAACUUAUAUUACUAAAUUAGUGAAAACAAAACCAAAUACCCCAUAAUUGAGGUGUCUGGUCGUACAAGAAGCAGGAGGGCGACAAGGGUUCUUCACCAAACCCUAACUCUCACAAAAAUUGAUCAAUUGAAGGAUCAAAUCAAGUCCAAAACGAAAAUCGAGCAUAGAUUAAUGAUCCCCAUUGUAAGGAGAUCAUAAGCUUGACACCUAACGAGGUAGAUGGAAGCUUGUGGAUGAAGCGGGUCAAACGGAGCAAGUACGGAAAGAAAAGCGAGGCAUGGAUGCAAGGUAAGUGAAACUUACACCUUUUAGUAAAAUAAAUGUUCAUCCUAUAAGUUUCAAAUACACUAAGAAUAAUUUUCAAGAUAUGGUUCCCGACGCGAAAUAAUACGGGUCAGAACUAACAUAAAUGAUAAAAACCAUGUUUAAUGGUAAAAGAGAUAGAACGGUAAAUUAGCCAUGAAAAGCUAAUUAUAAAAAUGGGUUUUUGAACGGCAACUAUAAGUAAGCCUAAUGAAUAAAAAGAGUAAAAUGGGUCAAAUAGUAAUGUGGAUACCAUUUGACAAAUAUCGACUAAUAAGCACUUGUCGAGUUUUAUGCUUACAGGAUAAAGUAGCUUAUGAAUUAGCGUUGCUAUGAAUUAGCAAAUUUUCGAGACAAGGUAUUAAAACGGGUCAAUGUAUUGAUCCGAGCCAGGUGAAUAUCAAGAGUACCCGGAUGAGGAUCAAGCGCGAAAAGAACCGAACACAUGAAAAAGAAGCUUCCGCACGUUGCAUCGUUGUUAUUUCUAAAUGACGAAUCUAAUUACAUUCUGUUGUAUCAUUUUCACAUUGUAAAAGUUUAAAUAAACCCGUAUUUUCAUAAGUAUAUGUAGUCGUAAUUACUUAUUUCUUUUCGUAAUUUAUACGAAAAGCGCUAAAUAAUAGUACGGGUGUUACAAGUUGGUAAUCAGAGCUCAAGGUUAAAAGAAUAAAGUGUUCGGUUCGAGGCUUGAUCGCAAAUCCGGUAAGUACAUGUAUAUCAAUAGUUUGAUAUGAUUAAAGUGCUGAGAACAACACAUAUGGUUAUCGUGUAAUACACGUUACACCAAUAAAAUCGAUAUAGAAUAGAUAUAGUCAAUGAAAUUACACGCGUUGAUGCGUAUAAUAGAAAAGCCUUGUAUUAUAAUACGGGCAUCCUUUAAUGUUGAAAUUAUUAACAUUUGUAUAUGUUUUAGUUGAAGGACAUUCGCAUAUGAGGAUAGCGAGAGCUUAACAAAUUACGGAUAUGGUAGAAGAACGGUCCGAAGUAUGACAAGAGGAGCAUGCUCACCAAGGACUAAAUCGCGUAACGACCGCGAACAAAGUUAAAGGCAAGAAACGCCCGUCGGGGCAAGCAUUACCAGUUUGACACCUAACGAGCUAGAUGGAAGCUUGUGGAUGAAGCGGGUCAAACGGAGCAAGUACGGAAAGAAAAGCGAGGCAUGGAUGCAAGGUAAGUGAAACUUACACCUUUUAGUAAAAUAAAUGUUCAUCCUAUAAGUUUCAAAUACACUAAGAAUAAUUUUCAAGAUAUGGUUCCCGACGCGAAAUAAUACGGGUCAGAACUAACAUAAAUGAUAAAAAACCAUGUUUAAUGGUAAAAGAGAUAGAACGGUAAAUUAGCCAUGAAAAGCUAAUUAUAAAAAUGGGUUUUUGAACGGCAACUAUAAGUAAGCCUAAUGAAUAAAAAGAGUAAAACGGGUCAAAUAGUAAUGUGGAUACCAUUUGACAAAUAUCGACUAAUAAGCACUUGUCGAGUAUUAUGCUUACAGGAUAAAGUAGCUUAUGAAUUAGCGUUGCUAUGAAUUAGCAAAUUUUCGAGACAAGGUAUUAAAAUGGGUCAAUGUAUUGAUCCGAGCCAGGUACGUGUAAUUAUGUUAUAGUUAAAAGUGAUUAAAGCAUGGAUAUUGCUUCGUAACAUGAUUGAUUGUUCUAUUGUUGACAAUUGAAUAUUGACAUAUUAAAACACGAGAAUUUAAUAUGUUGGUUGUUAGAAUAAAAGAUUCGAGAAAUUGGUAUGGGCAACACAAACAAAACAGUCAAAAACUUACAUGUGCAGAGGCUACCGUAAGUUACGGUACCACCGUAACUUACGGUAGAGGUCAGAAGGCUACG
Helianthus annuus (common sunflower) is the source of this 2376-nucleotide long non-coding RNA. RefSeq lists it as uncharacterized. NCBI's taxonomy places the organism in Eukaryota, Viridiplantae, Streptophyta, Magnoliopsida, Asterales, Asteraceae. The transcript has 4 exons. The record is from RefSeq and is a predicted model, not a curated record.